CCUACGGUGUGCAGCAGUGAGGAAUAUUGGUCAAUGGACGAGAGUCUGAACCAGCCAAGUAGCGUGAAGGAUGACUGCCCUAUGGGUUGUAAACUUCUUUUAUAUGGGAAUAAAAUGUUCCACGUGUGUGAUUUUGUAUGUACCAUAUGAAUAAGGAUCGGCUAACUCCGUGCCAGCAGCCGCGGUAAUACGGAGGAUCCGAGCGUUAUCCGGCUUUAUUGGGUUUAAAGGGAGCGUAUGUGGAUUGUUAAUGCAGUUGUGAAAGUUUGCGGCUCAACCGUAAAAGUGCAGUUGAAACUGGCAGUCUUGAGUACAGUAGAGGUGGGAGGAAUUCGUGGUGUAGCGGUGAAAUGCUUAGAUAUCACGAAGAACUCCGAUUGCGAAGGCAGUUCACUGGACUGCAACUGACACUGAGGCUCGAAAGUGUGGGUAUCAAACAGGAUUAGAUACCCGGGUAGUC
Molecule: ribosomal RNA, 460 nt
Filed under: uncultured bacterium
Lineage: Bacteria
Description: partial 16S ribosomal RNA
Rfam family: Bacterial small subunit ribosomal RNA
Source: RNAcentral